Long non-coding RNA from Engraulis encrasicolus (European anchovy), 487 nucleotides. RefSeq lists it as uncharacterized. The transcript has 3 exons. Lineage: Eukaryota; Metazoa; Chordata; Actinopteri; Clupeiformes; Engraulidae. The record is from RefSeq and is a predicted model, not a curated record.
AUAAUACAUUCACAUAGUCCAGGAAGUGGACAACCGACCGGAUGUUGUUUUGUGAUCAGUGAUGCGUUUCCAGGGACACAGUAAACUUUGAGGAAGAAGUAGUGUCAUGUUUAGUGUUCACGGUUUACAUUGCUGAAGGAAAAUUACAAGCCUAAACGGAGAAGAGUCGUCAUUUCAAUGUGUUUCACGGACGUAUUGGUAUGUGGAUGUUGACAAUGUCGGACGACAUCAAAGUUGACAUGAGAAGUUGGAGUGAAUACGAGAAGAGCAUGCGAGCUGCCUGCUGCCUACUGCCUACUCCUGCUGCUGCCGCUGCUGCUGUUGCAUUCAAUGUUGGGUAGCCAGCCACCCAUGCACGAUGACAAUGCCAGCAGCGGGCACCCAUGGGGAUGGACCCAGGAGUGGAGGAUGACCCAGUAUGAUGAAAGUUCAGCCCACUCACUGACACCAGUGACACAGUAUUGACCAGAUCUCCUGGAAGUGCCCC